RNAcentral lists this ribosomal RNA (253 nucleotides) under uncultured bacterium. RNAcentral's name for it is "partial 16S ribosomal RNA". It matches the Rfam family "Bacterial small subunit ribosomal RNA", at positions 524 to 776 of the family's 1533-position model. The record is from RNAcentral.
UACGUAGGGGGCAAGCGUUGUCCGGAAUCAUUGGGCGUAAAGAGCGCGUAGGCGGCCCUGUAAGUCCGCUGUGAAAGUCAAGGGCUCAACCCUUGAAUGCCGGUGGAUACUGCAGGGCUAGAGUCCGGAAGAGGCGAGUGGAAUUCCUGGUGUAGCGGUGAAAUGCGCAGAUAUCAGGAGGAACACCGAUGGCGAAGGCAGCUCGCUGGGACGGUACUGACGCUGAGGCGCGAAAGCUAGGGGAGCAAACAGG